AGAGUUUGAUCAUGGCUCAGAUUGAACGCUGGCGGCAUGCUUUACACAUGCAAGUCGAACGGCAGCACAGGGAGCUUGCUCCCGGGUGGCGAGUGGCGCACGGGUGAGUAAUACAUCGGAACGUGUCCUGUUGUGGGGGAUAACUGCUCGAAAGGGUGGCUAAUACCGAAUGAGACCUGAGGGUGAAAGCGGGGGAGUCGCAAGACCUCGCGCAUUGGAGCGGCCGAUGCCCGAUUAGCUAGUUGGUGAGGUAAAGGCGUCACCAAGGCGACGAUCGGUAGCUGGUCUGAGAGGACGACCAGCCACACUGGGACUGAGACACGGCCCAGACUCCUACGGGAGCA
This 344-nucleotide ribosomal RNA is filed under the name uncultured bacterium. RNAcentral describes it as "bacterial SSU rRNA". It matches the Rfam family "Bacterial small subunit ribosomal RNA", at positions 8 to 349 of the family's 1533-position model. The record is from RNAcentral.